AGUGAAUAGAUACCCAGGUAGUCCACGCCCUAAACGAUGAAUGCUAGUCGUCGGGGUACUCGUUACUUCGGUGAUGCACUUAAACAGAUUAAGCAUUCCGCCUGGGGAGUACGGUCGCAAGAUUAAAACUCAAAGGAAUAGACGGGGACCCGCACAAGUGGUGGAGCAUGUGGUUUAAUUCGAAGAUACACGAAGAACCUUACCUGGCCUUGACAUGGUAGGAACCCUUAAGAGAUUAGGGGGUGCUAGCUUGCUAGAACCUACACACAGGUGCUGCACGGCUGUCGUCAGCUCGUGUCGUGAGAUGUUGGGUUAAGUCCCGCAACGAGCGCAACCCUCGUCGUUAGUUGCUAACAGUUCGGCUGAGCACUCUAACGAGACUGCCUUCGCAAGGAGGAGGAAGGUGAGGACGACGUCAAGUCAUCAUGGCCCUUACGGCCAGGGCUACACACGUGCUACAAUGGGGCGUACAAAGAGCUGCAAUACCGCGAGGUGGAGCCAAUCUCUU
This 508-nucleotide ribosomal RNA is filed under the name uncultured bacterium. Its description in RNAcentral is "bacterial SSU rRNA". It matches the Rfam family "Bacterial small subunit ribosomal RNA", at positions 773 to 1277 of the family's 1533-position model. The record is from RNAcentral.